AGGAGGCAGCUGAUCCAUGGUUCUCUCUCAUCAUUGAUAUUUCUAUCUCUCCCUCUUCCUUUCCCUCUGAAAUCAAUAAAAACGUACUUAAAAAAAAAAAGUCAUAAAUAAAAUAACUAAAGACAAACCAGCCACUUGAAAUAAUGAUGGACUUUUCGUCAGAACUUGAAAUUUUAGCUGAGAUAAAAUGUAAGUCUGGAAACAAAGGACUGAUUCACGCCAGCUGGCUAUCACCAUCUCUCUGCAGGAGGAGCUGCCCUCUGGCCUGCCUUAAGCCUGGACACCACGUGUGGGCUCCUCCAUGGCCCAGCUGUCAGCGUUGGGCAGGUGUGCAAUCUCAGCAGGAGAACCUGCUUCUGAGGCCUGGACAAGGUGGCCUGUUAGCUGCCAGCCAGCCUGGGAGCAAGAACCCAGCCAGUUCUCGGGUGUAUAAUCUGCACUGAGCUUGGCUUCUGCUGCUCUUCACUGUCAUUUAAGAGGAUGGUUCUUGUCUGGUCUUCCAAAACAUAUCUCCUCUCGCCCCAGUACUGGAAAUGGGCCUAGAAACAGAAAUAGCCUCUUCCUCUGUUUGGGCACCUGACAUCUUACACGGAGAGGGUGCAUGGGCAGCCGAAGUAGCAACAUCUCUUUGUUGAAGGACAACCUGGGACCUGUGCUAAGCAUUAAGUCUCUGUUCGGUAGUGUCACUACAACCAAGAUGUCUGGAAGCUCCUCCUGCUCCUUUUGGCGAUGAACAGAAGCAGUCAAUGGAUUCUGAAACUUUUGCUUACAGUGAGUGAGGGACAAAAUUAUUCUGUUGAAGAAAAUUUUUUUUCUUGCAAUCCCCAUGUUAGUAAACAUUCCAUUAAAAUUCCACAUGUGUUGUUUUUACCUUUUCCAUUGUGGCCGGAACAUUGUUUCUAUUAACAAAGAUCAACAACUACCAAUUGCAUUAAGCCUUUAUGAUAGUUAAUGAUAGCUCAUGCUUUCAUUGUGCAAAACUCCUUGUGAAACUGGCUGAGUUCCUAAGUCUGCUUGUCCUUUGGGAUUCAAAAUUACUGUGAGGAAGGUGUAUCCAUUUGGAAGGUAGCUUUAGAGUUCUGCUGUUCUAAAAAUUUGUUUUUAAAUUUUUAAAAAAGAUCAUCUUUGAACAAAACAUAAUAUGGCAAGAGACUAGGAUAGUCUGGCUGACAGCUGAAUUGGUUCUUUCAGUGUUUUGUUAUUAUAAGUCUGCUUUAAAAAUCUGAAGGAAAUAUAAUAAUAAAGCACUUUUCAGGCUAAAUAAAAUUCCACCUUUUGGAGUCAACAUGAAGAAUAUAGAUGAGGUCUUGACAGUUUGCAGAUUGAGGAAUUUUAAGAGGUGAUAGAUUCAAAACAUUGAGUGCCGGCACUCUAAUUUUCUUACAGGUAUUAAUACAGGAGAAAGGAGGCAACGGGUAGACUUUAUUUUCAACGGUUUUGGGUAAAUUGUGCUACCGUGUAAGAAACCCCGGACUGAGUGUCAGGACCCAGAAUUUAACUUGACUUUGCCACUGCCCAGCAGAGCUACUAUAUGCAAACUGCACAUGAAGCUGUAAGUUGCAAAGAAAAGAGCUUCUAGAAGAGGAAAUGUGAGUUAUCUUAAUUUUUUUCUACCAUUUAAUUGUUCUUUCCUGAGUGCACGUUUCAGACAUUUUUAUCAUAUUUCUGAGCUGAGUUUUAUUUUUACGUAUUGGAAAGAAUGCCGAAUUUACCAUGAAUUUUUCUUACGGUGGCGUUUUUUUGUUUUUUUGUUUUUGUUUUUGUUUUUUUUUUCUCCCGGCUUUUUACUUUGAAUUCAUACUUGGCCUAGGUAAUUCCCUGUGUGUUAAAAACAAAACAAAACAAUGUCCCAAAGGAAAAAAAACAAACAUGGCUACAUUGUUCCAUGAAUUAAAAACAAUAUGCUGAGAGUCCAAACAUUUCUUUUAAAUGUAAAAAAUUUUAGGUCAUUAUUUUUAUAGGAAGAAAAAUACUAAACCUUGCUUUAACUAUCCUGUUCAUUGUUUUUCUUUUCCCUUUUUUAUUUAUUUUGCUUUGUUUUGACUCAUGUAGUUUAAAUGUUUUUGAAAACAGUAUUUAUAUGUUCUUCUUUACGAACAUGACACAUAAAAAGGAAAACAUCAGAAUUCCAUUUUAUAUUUGAAGAGAAAAGCCACAGGAAGACAUGUAGUCUACUGAGGGCAGGACAUGUCUGUUAACAUCAAGGCUUUUUAACGCUCACGUUGCUUGGUUGCAUUGCAUAGUUGUCAUUAUUGUUCAGCUAGUACACACGAAAUAGGCAGGUGAGUGCAAUGUUAGUUAAGACGUUCACUUUCGUGAAGUGAAAAUGUAGGACAAUAGCAUCAGGAGAAGGCUGAGAAUUCAAUCUGUUUUUGUUGUCAUCUUUAUUAUUUAAUGCACCAGUUAGCCAAUUGCUAUAAAAUUCUAAUUGCUAACUUUUUAAAGUGGGUUAAAGGUAAAAGCAUUCUUUGUCCCCUGGAUCCCUACCCUCUGGCUCUUUUCCUCUGUUUCCACGUCUUCUCGGUAACAUAAGCCUGGCCACCAGCAUCACAAAGUACGUGUGUCAGAAUCUUGACACACACAUUCUUUUACCUUUUCUCUAAAAGGGGGAGGCAUCUCUAGCCCGGUAAUGUGGUAAUCGAGACUAGGAAUAAUCAUGUUCCACAGGCAUGUAGAUUGUUUUUCUCUCCUGAAAUUCAGUUUUAAGUUACUACUGUAUUGGGAAAUGU
Molecule: long non-coding RNA, 2729 nt
Organism: Myotis myotis
Lineage: Eukaryota; Metazoa; Chordata; Mammalia; Chiroptera; Vespertilionidae
Exons: 2
Source: RefSeq, a predicted model, not a curated record